UGUAAAUCUCAUACAAAGGUAGAAAGUGCAAUUCAACCCAACACGCUGGUUAUGGUAUAUGUGCUGUCAAUGUACAUGGUAGCAACUUGAAUCAAACCAGAGCUGCUACCACAUGUAAGCAACCUCUUAUGCUGCCCUGUAGUGAUGUCAAUGUUCUCAGUUUACUAAAUUAUCAAUGUGGAAGAACGCAUUUUUGAGCUCCAGACCUUCUAAACAUUUUAAACAGGCUAUCGAAGAGGAUGUAACAGAACCCUAUUUCAGAAACCUAAGGAUCAGGGAGGAAGGAACACUGACCGGUUUUUCUGGGAUGUUUCUGUGGGGGCAACAGGGAUGAACAAAAGAAAUGUUAGCAUGUCAGAGCAUAUGACAAGUGAGGGGAGACAGAGUAGAUUCUAACCAAAGGAAGGCGGUGAGGGUUAAAUGAAGGUAAUUCAGUUAGUUUUUAGGUUGGCUGGGGCAAGCUGC
Molecule: long non-coding RNA, 465 nt
Filed under: Homo sapiens (human)
Lineage: Eukaryota; Metazoa; Chordata; Mammalia; Primates; Hominidae
Description: HSALNT0015442
Source: RNAcentral